GACGAAGGGGGCUAGCGUUGUUCGGACUUACUGGGCUUAAAGCGAGUGUAGGUGGUUGUCCAAGUUGGAUGUGAAAGCCUUGAGCUCAACUCAAGAAAUGCAUUCAGGACUGGGCGGCUAGAGGACCGGAGAGGAUAGUGGAAUUCCCAGUGUAGUGGUGAAAUACGUAGAGAUUGGAAAGAACACCAGUGGCGAAGGCGGCUAUCUGGACGGUUUCUGACACUAAGGCUCGAAAGCGUGGGGAGCAAACAGG
Molecule: ribosomal RNA, 253 nt
Filed under: uncultured bacterium
Lineage: Bacteria
Description: partial 16S ribosomal RNA
Rfam family: Bacterial small subunit ribosomal RNA
Source: RNAcentral